Molecule: long non-coding RNA, 555 nt
Filed under: Bos taurus (domestic cattle)
Lineage: Eukaryota; Metazoa; Chordata; Mammalia; Artiodactyla; Bovidae
Description: long non-coding RNA NONBTAT019560
Source: RNAcentral
CAUGCUUGGCUAUGAGCCCUGUCCUCACGUGGAAGUCCGGAACUUACUUACACCCUCUCCCUUUCCCAGAGAUAUAGUCUUGUGAUUUCUUUGUUCAGAACUGUGUGCACAUCAUGACAACCCCGUAGACAGACCAGUUCAUAAGAAUGUAGGUUGAAAGCAUCUAGGCCAAAAGGAAGUCAUCGUGGGGUAAUUACAAGUGGUUUUUCCUUUUGUUAUUUUACAUUGUGAUACUGUCUUUUGGGAUAUUCUUUUACCUUAUCUAUGAUUAAAGAAAGAGGAGGGGUGUGCAUCUACUCUGAGUCACACACCAGGCCUCCUGAGAAGACCUUUGUGAGCGCAGGACUGACCCUCUGGGCGUGAUUUGUGUGCUAGCCCCUCUGCUCUGUUCAGGCCACAGCGGGCAUCCCCGGAGAGAGGAACUGGCCCAGCCCGUGUGUGAGGUGCCUGUCAGCAGCCUGGGCCCCAGGGCAUGGAGGUGGCCUCGCGGUGUGCAGGUCCUGUGGGACCUCCUGUGAACAUUUCCAACAGGGAAAAUGAGUUAUUCUUCAUGAC